GUCCACGCCGUAAACGAUCAUUACUCGAUAUCAGCGAUAUACAGUUGGUGUCUAAGCGAAAGUGAUAAGUAAUGCACCUGGGGAGUACGAUCGCAAGGUUGAAACUCAAAGGAAUUGACGGGGGCCCGCACAAGCGGUGGAGCAUGUGGUUUAAUUCGAUGAUACGCGAGGAACCUUACCAGGGCUUAAAUGCAUAAUGACAGGGGUGAAACACCUUUUUCUCGGACAUUUUGCAAGGUGCUGCAUGGCUGUCGU
This 255-nucleotide ribosomal RNA is filed under the name uncultured bacterium. Its description in RNAcentral is "partial 16S ribosomal RNA". It matches the Rfam family "Bacterial small subunit ribosomal RNA", at positions 793 to 1055 of the family's 1533-position model. The record is from RNAcentral.